GGCAGCAGUGGGGAAUCUUCCGCAAUGGACGAAAGUCUGACGGAGCGAUGCCGCGUGCGGGAUGAAGGCCCUUGGGUUGUAAACCGCUGUCAGAGGGAAUGAAAUCUCCGGAGGUUCUCCUCCGGAGUUGACAGAGCCUCAGAGGAAGCACGGGCUAAGUAUGUGCCAGCAGCCGCGGUAAUACAUACUGUGCGAACGUUAUUCGGAAUCACUGGGCUUAAAGGGUGCGUAGGCGGCGAUUCAAGUCAGAUGUGAAAUGCCUGAGCUCAACUGAGGCAUUGCGUUUGAAACUGGAUUGCUGGAGUGUCCCAGGGGUGUGCGGAACUGCCAGUGGAGCGGUGAAAUGUGUUGAUAUUGGCAGGAACACCGGAGGCGAAAGCGGCACACUGGGGGAUAACUGACGCUGAGGCACGAAAGCCAGGGGAGCGAACAGGAUUAGAUAC
This 443-nucleotide ribosomal RNA is filed under the name Desulforhabdus sp. TSK. RNAcentral describes it as "bacterial SSU rRNA". It matches the Rfam family "Bacterial small subunit ribosomal RNA", at positions 347 to 785 of the family's 1533-position model. The record is from RNAcentral. Lineage: Bacteria; Pseudomonadati; Thermodesulfobacteriota; Syntrophobacteria; Syntrophobacterales; Syntrophobacteraceae.